RNAcentral lists this ribosomal RNA (497 nucleotides) under uncultured bacterium. Its description in RNAcentral is "partial 16S ribosomal RNA". It matches the Rfam family "Bacterial small subunit ribosomal RNA", at positions 28 to 507 of the family's 1533-position model. The record is from RNAcentral.
GAUGAACGCUGGCGGCGUGCCUAAUACAUGCAAGUCGAGCGAACAGACGAGGAGCUUGCUCCUCUGACGUUAGCGGCGGACGGGUGAGUAACACGUGGAUAACCUACCUAUAAGACUGGGAUAACUUCGGGAAACCGGAGCUAAUACCGGAUAAUAUAUUGAACCGCAUGGUUCAAUAGUGAAAGACGGUUUUGCUGUCACUUAUAGAUGGAUCCGCGCCGCAUUAGCUAGUUGGUAAGGUAACGGGUUACCAAGGCAACGAUGCGUAGCCGACCGGGGAGGGUGAUCGGCGACACGGGAGGUGAGCCGCGGUCCAGGGUCCUACGGGAGGCAGCAGUAGGGAAUGUUCCGCAGUGGGCGAAAGCCUGACGGAGCAGCGCCGCGUGAGUGAUGAAGGUCUUCGGAUCGUAAAACUCUGUUAUUAGGGAAGAACAAAUGUGUAAGUAACUAUGCACGUCUUGACGGUACCUAAUCAGAAAGCCACGGCUAACUACGUG